UUUCCCCUGAAUCUAGCAUAUCAAUAAGCGGAGGAAAAGAAACCAACAGGGAUUGCCUCAGUAACGGCGAGUGAAGCGGCAACAGCUCAAAUUUGAAAUCUGGCUCUUUCAGGGUCCGAGUUGUAAUUUGUAGAAGAUGCUUCGGGUGUGGCUCCGGUCUAAGUUCCUUGGAACAGGACGUCAUAGAGGGUGAGAAUCCCGUAUGUGACUGGCUGCCUCCCCCAUGUGAAGCUCUUUCGACGAGUCGAGUUGUUUGGGAAUGCAGCUCAAAAUGGGUGGUAAAUUUCAUCUAAAGCUAAAUAUUGGCCAGAGACCGAUAGCGCACAAGUAGAGUGAUCGAAAGAUGAAAAGCACUUUGGAAAGAGAGUUAAACAGUACGUGAAAUUGUUGAAAGGGAAGCGCUUGCAAUCAGACUUGCGCGCGGUCGAUCAUCCGAUGUUCUCACCGGUGCACUCGACCGUGCUCAGGCCAGCAUCGGUUUCGGUGGUUGGAUAAAGGCCUUGGGAAUGUGGCUCUCUUCGGGGAGUGUUAUAGCCCUCGGUGCAAUGCAGCCUACCGGGACCGAGGACCGCGCUUCGGCUAGGAUGCUGGCGUAAUGGUUGUAAGCGACCCGUCUUGAAACACGGACCAAGGAGUCUAACAUCUAUGCGAGUGUUUGGGUGUCAAACCCAUACGCGUAAUGAAAGUGAACGGAGGUGAGAACCCUUAAGGGUGCAUCAUCGACCGAUCCUGAUGUCUUCGGAUGGAUUUGAGUAAGAGCAUAGCUGUUGGGACCCGAAAGAUGGUGAACUAUGCCUGAAUAGGGUGAAGCCAGAGGAAACUCUGGUGGAGGCUCGCAGCGGUUCUGACGUGCAAAUCGAUCGUCAAAUUUGGGUAUAGGGGCGAAAGACUAAUCGAACCAUCUAGUAGCUGGUUCCUGCCGAAGUCCCCCCUCAGGAUAUUAC
RNAcentral lists this ribosomal RNA (944 nucleotides) under Cylindrocephalum aureum. RNAcentral describes it as "partial large subunit ribosomal RNA". It matches the Rfam family "Eukaryotic large subunit ribosomal RNA", at positions 24 to 984 of the family's 3401-position model. Lineage: Eukaryota; Fungi; Ascomycota; Leotiomycetes; Helotiales; Pezizellaceae. The record is from RNAcentral.